Triticum aestivum (bread wheat) is the source of this 135-nucleotide non-coding RNA. Lineage: Eukaryota; Viridiplantae; Streptophyta; Magnoliopsida; Poales; Poaceae. The record is from Rfam.
CUUAUACUCCCUCCGUUCUAAAAUUCUUGUCUUAGAUUUGUCUAAAUACGAAUGUAUCAAGUCACUUUUUAGUAUUAGAUACAUACGUAUUUAGGCAAAUCUAAGACAAAAAUUUUAGGACGGAGAAAAUAUUUA